GGCUCUCUUGGUUCAAGAACGCUAAAGCAGCCGCCGCGCCAGCCGCCAUGCUGAAACGGCCGUGGGAGCCCCGCCCCCCACGCACCGAACGCCGCCUCAGCCAGUUCCGGCCCCGCCCAUUAAAGGAGCCGCGCUCGCCGCACGAGGCACCUGGACCCCGCGUGGGGUGGGAGCAGCUGUCGCCUCUUCCACAAGGACAGCCAUGUCUCCAAAGAACAGAGACAUUUCAUUCAGCACACCAAGGAGAAUAGAGAGUGACUGAUCUUCAUUGCUCUUAGGUGAGAAAUGCAACCACACUGGAUGCAGAAAAUAGUGCUGACUCCAUUUAUUUAAGAACCUCUCCCUAGAGAGCCCCAUGUAAGAGGCCCUGACCCUAACACAAGACCCAAAGAGGAGCACACCACAAGCUGCAUGGGGUAUGCAGCAAUGCUAUCUUCUCCCAACCAGUGAGCAUCUGAAAAUGGGAUGGGUGCGCUUCACAGUCAUCUCUGUUUCCAAUCCAACUGGCUGAUCUGCUGCCGCUCCAGACACUGAACUGUGUGAAGACCUCAACCACCAACCACAAGGUGGAGUUAAGGGACUUUUGGACAGUUCACAGUGCCAACAAGUAUCACAGGCUUCGACCAAGUAUAACCACAUCCUUUGGAAAUCCUUCCAUUUUUGCAAUUUCAAAACAGCCUAACUUGCUGUAAAAUUCCAGAAUCCUUUUAUCAUCUGGUCUUACUUCACAGAAAGCCCCCCGGGAACCUAGAAAUAAAACAAAUGUAUUAAAUGUAA
RNAcentral lists this long non-coding RNA (777 nucleotides) under Mus pahari (shrew mouse). RNAcentral describes it as "lncRNA (MGP_PahariEiJ_G0002248.1)". The record is from RNAcentral. Lineage: Eukaryota; Metazoa; Chordata; Mammalia; Rodentia; Muridae.